UAGCAAGCCAAAGCGAACUGAUAUUUCCAAACAAUUAAGAAUAAUUUGUUUCCCAUAGUCAUAGCCUUUCUAUAAAGUAGUUUGAAGCGGUGAUAAUAAUUUAGAGCCGGUUUUACACUACUAGUGCCCGCAAGUUGAAUUCCCAACCGUUAGACUGUUAGAGUACCGCCAAUCAUUGUGAAGAAGUACUAGACUACACAGGCCGCUCGAGUCCAGCACAUGCAGUAGUUCCAGAACGAAGCAAUUUUGAUUAUAUACAGGAACUAAACGUAAGUGCUCAUAAAGUUCAUUGUCAAUUCUAUGUCACUUCUUGCACAGGGGUUCACCCCACACUUUUCAAACGGAACAGAUGCUAUGAACUAAUAAUGAAUUAAAAUAAUUUACCCCCUAUCACACAAAUAGUUAACGUUAAGAAU
Molecule: long non-coding RNA, 416 nt
Organism: Armigeres subalbatus
Lineage: Eukaryota; Metazoa; Arthropoda; Insecta; Diptera; Culicidae
Exons: 3
Source: RefSeq, a predicted model, not a curated record